GAAAAGACUGAUGCAACUAUACAAAAGAAAAAAAAGGAUUGGUGAAUCCUUACGAAUUCCAUUGUGCGUCGUGUUCCUUCAACAACCAGAUUGGUCAUAUUUCCAAUCAAACCAAUAGAUGGAGGCUAUGUAACGCAUCCACAAGUUAGCUUCCCUGAAGUUUGGCACUGCAGCACCAAUCCAAGUCUUCCCUUGAUGUGGAUACCGAUCAGCCAGCAAGUAGUAGAGGCAUCCAGCACAGUGGACUAAGAAAAAGCAUACCUGUAAUCAGAAUUCAAGCUAGUGAUGUUGAUGAUUGAUGACUGGAGACGAGUUCAUGGUACAUCAUGAGCUGGCAUAUCACAUGUAUCAGUUUGAUUUUAGCAUAAGGUUGUACAAGAGCAGCCCCCAUGUCAUAAAAUGACAGAAUGGAAGACAGUGGCAGAGGCAUUGCAGGAUCCUUAUGGUCAGCAAAUUUUGUACAAUUUUUUUACGACCACAAGUCGAUAAGUUUUUCUACCAUUAUUGGUGGGGUCAGUCCGUGGGCUGGGAUACCUCAGUCAGUGCUACAAGAAUAAGCUGAAAUCAAGAAUGAAAAAGACAAUCAGUUUGUGAUGGCCAGGUAACAAUCUGGUGGGCCCCUCAUGUUGGUGAUAGAAUAACAUCUGACAAUAUCUUGUUUUCUUUUUUCCUUUCAUGAGAUCUAUAAAAACUUGAAAUCUUGAAGUAUAUUUGUGCAAGAGUUGGUGCUGAUCGUGCAUUGCGACAGUGAUUAAGCCGAAAUCAAGAAUUGAACAAAAUGACAGCACUACAAGUGGUGGUUAUCUCAAGUUCUGGUGAAAGCAAGCUUGCCAAGACAACCUGCUUGCCAUGGUCAGAUAUUAGCCAACACUCUGGGAUUAGGCUGACAUCAAGAAUGAACAAAAUGACAGCAUUAGAUGUGGUGACCUCGAGAUCUCGUGACAGCCAGCUUACCAAGACAACCUGCUUGUGAUGGUCAGGUAUUAGCAUUCCUUUCUACUUAACCGACCCAGACCUUCUAGAUUUGAUGAACUACAGCCAACUUGAAACCGUACUCCACAUCAAGGAGCUACAGCAGCACUCUAUCAUUUUUUAUACAAUUCUCUAGAAUCUACUCGAUCUUGAUUAGCUACUUGAUGUGUUGAUACCCUGGUGGGCUCCUCAUGUUGGUGAUAGAAUAAAAAGUCUAACAAUAUCUUCUUCUUUUUUUUCACUUUUCCUUUCAUGAGAGCUAAAUCUGCAGUGCUAUCUCAAGCUUACCAAAAUGACAGCACUAGUUGUGGUGGUUAUCUCAAGCUUACCAAGAAAACCUGCUUGUGAUGGCCAGGUAUCAGCUAAUAAUACACUAUGGUGGCCUCCUUAUGUUGGUGACACAAUGAAAAGUGUAGGUGCCCUUCUCUUGUGAACCCAAGUGGUUGGUAGAGUUAGUGUAGCAAUUAGCAUGCAAACAAAAAAAAGAAAAAUCAUGGCUUUCCUGAGCCUGAGGGAGUGGAGUCCAAGCAAUCUGAGUGGAACCUGCGUGAUUCUGACAGCGCCAAGAUGAAACGAGUCCUCCAGAAGAAGCCCACGCAGCUCAGGUUUUGAUGAAGUAGGUGCUACAAGACUGCCACCAGAACCCAUUUGUUUUCCUAGGUACCCCCUUCUACUAUUUUUCUUGUGGUCACAAUGAAAAGUCCGCAACCCGGAAGAAUGAUUUUUCUCGUAGUUGCCUUCAAAUCAAGAGUUCAAGAACCUAUGUGACAGAUUGCUUGAGGUUUGUUUGCUUGUUCGUGACAAAGCACAGAGACACUCACACUAAGGCUGUUAAGGUCUCAAAUUCCGUACCUAGUCAUGGGAUGGGAACUCUCUUUUUAUUUCUGUGAUGAGCAAAGGUGUAAGAGGGCAUAGAUGAGUGGGCGAAGAACAGACCUGGUGGCAAUCUUCCUGGGGUCACAAACAAGAACCUGCGUCCUGGAAUCGAUGUAAGCC
Molecule: non-coding RNA, 1968 nt
Organism: Musa acuminata subsp. malaccensis (wild Malaysian banana)
Lineage: Eukaryota; Viridiplantae; Streptophyta; Magnoliopsida; Zingiberales; Musaceae
Source: RefSeq, a predicted model, not a curated record